AUGAUCGCAAUGUAUUCCU
RNAcentral lists this small nuclear RNA (19 nucleotides) under Arabidopsis thaliana (thale cress). RNAcentral describes it as "snRNA_14112". The record is from RNAcentral. Lineage: Eukaryota; Viridiplantae; Streptophyta; Magnoliopsida; Brassicales; Brassicaceae.